GAUACACACACUGCAAAUCAGCAACAACUUUAAUUAGCUAGUCAUGACAAAGGUAAAAUUUUUAAUUGAACAUUGAAAUAUUAGAAUCAAGGGUACAAUAACAAACCAGCAACAACAAAUGUUAGGAUUCAAAUAACCAUGAACACCAUAAAUAGACUAAUAUUAAGUGAACUUUCAACACUCUUAACUAAAACAAGAUAGCAUAAAAUCAGAAUUGAAAUAUAGAAGUAAGGGUACAAUAACAAAUCAGAAACAAGUAUUUGGGUAACAACAAUCUCAAUUUAUAACUAUGAACACCAGAGAUUACCUAAUACCAAGUGACUUUUUGAAACUCUUAACUAACAUAAAACAACGUAAAAUUAGGAUUGAAAAACAGAAAUAAGACAGGCACAUUAUAUCAGCCAAAGAAGUAUCCUAUGCUAUGAUUUCUUAUGAAGAUGAUUCACAAUAAAACAAUUACUAAUUGUAGUAACAAGUCAUUUAGAAUGAACUUAGAGUUGUUUAAAGAUGCUCUCGCAGAAGGUGAAACACUUCCCAAAUCUUAUUAUGAGGUGAAGAAAUUGAUGCAUGAUCUUGGCCUUGGUUAUAUCGAUAUAGAUGCAUGUGUGAAUAAAUGUAUACUAUAUUGAAAACACUAUGAGCAUCUUAAUACAUGCCUUGUGUGUAAUACCCCUCGAUCGAAGUAUGGUUUAGAUAAACGUAAGAAGAUUGCUCAAAAGGUAGCAAAAUAUUUUCCUUUGAAACCUAGACUUCAGAGGUUAUUUAUGUCAAAGGAAAUUGCUAAGGAUAUAAGGUGGCAUCAAGAAAAGCUGUUAAUGAUGAUGUCAUUAAGCAUCCAGUUGAUGGUAAGGCAUGGCAAGAGUUUUGAUAAAGAGCAUGAUUGAUUUGCUAAAGAUCCUCACAAUGUGCGACUUGGGCUUGCAAGUGAUGGAUUUAAUCCAUUUGAAAAUAAGAGCAUCAAUUAUAGUAUGUGGCCAGUCAUUCUACUUCCUUAUAAUUUGCCACCAUGGAAAUAUAUGAAGGAGCCAUUUUUGUUUUUAUCCAUGCUUAUCCCAGGUAAGGAUUCUCCUGGCAAUGAUACUGAUGUGUAUUUGCAACCAUUAAUAGAUGCACAAAAGAAUUAUGGGAAAAUUGUGUGGAGACAUUUGAUUCAUAGAGUGACGAAAAAUUUCAGUUACAUGCUCCAUUAUUAUGGACUAUAGAUGAUUUUCUUGCAUAUGCAAUGUUAUCCAGGUGGAGUACAAAGGGGAAAUUAGCUUGUUUAGUUUACAACAAAAGACAUUUUCACUCACUCUAAAGAAUGGACGAAAACAAUGUUACAUGGGUCAUCGCAGAUACUUGGACAAACAACACCUUUGGAGGCAAAGUAAAAAAUUUGAUUGUAAGGUAGAGCUUCAAGAGAAACCUAAAGAAUCAUCAGGAGAAGAAACUUAUCCAGACAUCCUAUAUUUCAUCAAGUGUGAGAUUUGGAAAGCCAUGUAAUAAAAAGAAGCGUAAUCGAAUGGACCAAGAGUUGAAUUGGACUAAAAGGAGUAUAUUUUUUGAACUUCCUUAUUGAAAAACAUUGAAGCUAUGCCAUAAUUUGGAUG
This 1589-nucleotide unclassified non-coding RNA is filed under the name Hevea brasiliensis (rubber tree). Lineage: Eukaryota; Viridiplantae; Streptophyta; Magnoliopsida; Malpighiales; Euphorbiaceae. The record is from RNAcentral.